RNAcentral lists this ribosomal RNA (254 nucleotides) under uncultured bacterium. RNAcentral describes it as "partial 16S ribosomal RNA". It matches the Rfam family "Bacterial small subunit ribosomal RNA", at positions 524 to 776 of the family's 1533-position model. The record is from RNAcentral.
UACGUAGGGUGCGAGCGUUGUCCGGAAUUAUUGGGCGUAAAAGAGCUUGUAGGUGGUUUGUCGCGUCUGCUGUGAAAAUCCGAGGCUCAACCUCGGACUUGCAGUGGGUACGGGCAGACUAGAGUGUGGUAGGGGAGACUGGAAUUCCUGGUGUAGCGGUGGAAUGCGCAGAUAUCAGGAGGAACACCGAUGGCGAAGGCAGGUCUCUGGGCCAUUACUGACACUGAGAAGCGAAAGCAUGGGGAGCGAACAGG